Molecule: ribosomal RNA, 410 nt
Filed under: uncultured microorganism
Description: bacterial SSU rRNA
Rfam family: Bacterial small subunit ribosomal RNA
Source: RNAcentral
CAGCCGCCGCGGUAAUACGGAGGGCGCGAGCGUUGUCCGGAUUCACUGGGCGUAAAGCGGGUGUAGGCGGUUGGGCAAGUCGGACGUGAAAGCCCGGGGCUCAACCCCGGAAGGGCGUCCGAAACUGCUCAACUUGAGGACGGGAGAGGGAGGUGGAAUUCCCGGUGUAGCGGUGAAAUGCGUAGAUAUCGGGAGGAACUCCAGUGGCGAAGGCGGCCUCCUGGCCCGUUCCUGACGCUGAGACCCGAAAGCGUGGGGAGCAAACCGGAUUAGAUACCCGGGUAGUCCACGCCCUAAGCGAUGGGUACUGGCCGGUUGGUGGGCGAUAGCGCUGAGUGGCGAAGAUAACGCGAGAAGUACCCCGCCUGGGGAGUACGGCCGCAAGGUUGAAACUUAAAGGAAUUGGCGGG